RNAcentral lists this long non-coding RNA (274 nucleotides) under Homo sapiens (human). RNAcentral's name for it is "non-protein coding lnc-FER1L6-1:3". Lineage: Eukaryota; Metazoa; Chordata; Mammalia; Primates; Hominidae. The record is from RNAcentral.
CACUAUAUUCCCCAGGAUGGUCUCCAACUCCUGGACUCAAGCAAUCUUCCCACCUCAGACUACAGGCAUGAGCCACCAUGCCCAGCCAUAUUGUUCAUUUUUAACCCUGUCUCAGUGUGGCCUGCUCCCAGAACUGUUUCUCCUGACUUCUCAUUUCACCAAGAAGACAUGGACUCAGAAAAAUGAAGAGAGAAACACAAAGACACAGGAGCAGCAACCAAGCCCCUCUUCUCCAGGCAAUCAUCUGACUUCAAUUGGCAUAGACCCCUUAGGG